AUUCAUGAAUUUUGCUAGUAAAUCGAAGUGUCUGCGUUGCUCUGAGCAAAGACCCAAGAAACAUCCCGGGGACUGGAGUUGCUCCAACUGUGGUUUCAUGAAUUUUGCUAGUAAAGUGAAGUGCUUGCAUUGUCAAGAGCCAAGUCCUAAUUCUAACAAAUAUCAAAAUCCCGGGGAUUGGAGUUGUCCUAAGUGUAAUUUCUACAAUUAUGCAAGAAAUAAGGAUUGUCUGAAGUGCAACAUUGAACGACCUAAAGAGCAACCAACCAGUGAGCAUGAGGAGCAUGUUUGGAAAAGAUCAUAUUGAUGAAGAGAUGCCAUAGGCCGACAUUUGCAUGGUGGAGUCAAAUGUGGGUUUUCUUUCCAGUUUAUUUUCUUGUCAUUUCAUUAGAAAGAUACACA
Non-coding RNA from Arachis ipaensis, 402 nucleotides. The record is from RefSeq and is a predicted model, not a curated record. NCBI's taxonomy places the organism in Eukaryota, Viridiplantae, Streptophyta, Magnoliopsida, Fabales, Fabaceae.